CGUGCAGGCGGUUUCGUAAGUCGGACGUGAAAGCUCCUGGCUUAACUGGGAGAGGCCGUUCGAGACUGCGAGACUUGAGGUCGGGAGAGGGACGUGGAAUUCCCGGUGUAGUGGUGGAAUGCGUAGAUAUCGGGAGGAACACCAGUGGCGAAGGCGGCGUCCUGGCCCGUACCUGACGCUAAGACGCGAAAGCGUGGGUAGCGAACG
RNAcentral lists this ribosomal RNA (207 nucleotides) under uncultured bacterium. RNAcentral's name for it is "partial 16S ribosomal RNA". It matches the Rfam family "Bacterial small subunit ribosomal RNA", at positions 568 to 774 of the family's 1533-position model. The record is from RNAcentral.